UUUUUACUUAUUUUGUUAAACAUUUCACAAUUACAUUUUGGUUUGGUUCCACUGCACUUGGGAAUUGUCCAAUUGUUCCCUGCCUUCCCCCACCUCCCUUACACCAAUAUUGAUACUCCAUGGUUAAGAAAAUGGGUCAGUCAAGUAUAUUGACACUUCACAAUGCAUCUUCUCCUCCUCUUUAACUAGUGGUAGAAGUGAUUAUGCAGACUCUAGUCAGUUGUGCUGGGAAGGAGCACCUUCUGGUUAGAAGAUCAGCAUUCCCUGGAAAAGUUGAAUAGUCCUGCCAUCAGCAUCUGCCAGCAAACAGACUUUUCCCUUUGGAACUCUGGUACACCAGCUGCAACAGCAAGACAACCACCAACAUUUGAGAAUUGAACAGGGAUCUCAGAGGUUAACUUGUCAAAUUCAUAUCGAAGGACAGAAUCCCCUUUACUACAACCCCUGAAAAGAGUUGCUUAUAGGGUGAAAGC
RNAcentral lists this long non-coding RNA (473 nucleotides) under Monodelphis domestica (gray short-tailed opossum). Its description in RNAcentral is "lncRNA (ENSMODG00000034814.2)". Lineage: Eukaryota; Metazoa; Chordata; Mammalia; Didelphimorphia; Didelphidae. The record is from RNAcentral.